RNAcentral lists this unclassified non-coding RNA (312 nucleotides) under uncultured fungus. Its description in RNAcentral is "sequence contains ITS2". The stretch from base 1 to 52 matches the Rfam family "5.8S ribosomal RNA", at positions 103 to 154 of the family's 154-position model. The record is from RNAcentral. Lineage: Eukaryota; Fungi.
AACGCACCUUGCGCCCUUUGGUAUUCCGAAGGGCAUGCCUGUUUGAGUGUCAUUAAAUUCUCAACUUCAAAGACUUUAUUGUUAUUUGAAGCUUGGAUUGUGGAGGUUUUUGCCGGCAUCACUGUCAGCUCCUCUUAAAUGCAUUAGCGGAACUUUUUAAAAAGGACCGGCUUUGGUUUGAUAAUCCUAUCUAUGCCGUCGCUGUGGACUUGUAUGUUCAGCUUCUAAUGGUCCUUUAGGGGACUGUCUCCUAGUGAGGCAUACACUUUUAAGCUUGACCUCAAAUCAGGUAGGACUACCCGCUGAACUUAA